RNAcentral lists this long non-coding RNA (760 nucleotides) under Nicotiana benthamiana. RNAcentral's name for it is "long non-coding RNA (NBEN_LNC009944)". The record is from RNAcentral. Lineage: Eukaryota; Viridiplantae; Streptophyta; Magnoliopsida; Solanales; Solanaceae.
UUGUGUGUGUUUUUGUUGUAUUACAAAAUAAUUUUAGAAAGUGGUGUGAGAGAAAACAAAGAGAUUGUGAGAUAAAAAAUAUUAUAUUGUGUGGUGUGUUGUUUGUCUUCUAGUCAAUUUAAUGCAAAAGUUUCUUUUCAAUUACCCAUCAUUUCUUUUAUAUUUCCAACAGAGCAGCUGAAUUUUCACACCCACCCAUAUCAAUACUCCUUGCCCCUACACGAUUUUGUCCUGGAUCACCCCUGUCAUUGAUCUUCCCUCAAGAUUGAUUUAUGUACUCCACUACUCACUUUAGCAGGACCUUUGUCAAUCUUGGAAGCUUCACCUACAUUGUUAUCUUCACCUACACGAUUCAUAACUUUGUCCUUGUUCCCCUUGCCAAUUUGAUUUCCUCCAUCUGUGUGCAAGACCUGCUGUUCUACAGAAUUUUCUUUUGCCUUUCAUCUCUCUAAUGCACAUGCUUUUUGCAUUGAGAUACUCCAUAGCAUCACCUUGCAACUUAUCAAGACUGCCCAGGCCUUCCCGUUCAUUUGGUGUUAGUUGUUCUUACAUGUUUAUUGCUUUGUCCCUCUAUAUAGCUUAAGACAACUUUUUCAAGUGAUGAAUGUUGAUGUGAGACAAAAUUUACUAUUCAUGGACCCGCAUUACUAUUCACGCGUUACUAUUCACGCAUGUGAAGAAAAGUGGUCGGUUACUGUUCAUGGGACCCACAUUCCGCGUUACUAUUCACGUGUUACUAUUCAUAGUACUAUUCAUGUGA